This is a long non-coding RNA of Falco peregrinus (peregrine falcon), 383 nucleotides long. RefSeq lists it as uncharacterized. The record is from RefSeq and is a predicted model, not a curated record. Lineage: Eukaryota; Metazoa; Chordata; Aves; Falconiformes; Falconidae. The transcript is spliced from 3 exons.
AUUCUGCAUUCAACCUGUGCAAGACUGGUUAUCUUAGCAACUCAGCUGAGCACGAAGUAACGCAGGAAUACUGGUGACAGUUCAGGCUUAGACACCCAAGCAGAAGUCAUCUUUGCUGUGAACUACAUUUCCAAGUUACCUACAGGCUGUUUUGCACCUUAAAGCACUGAGCCAAGAACUGUCUAUUCAGCCUAAGAAUUCCUAUAAAGCUACAGAAGGUGAUCAACGCACAACUCCUGAAAAAUUUCUAUAAAUAACAUUUGAAAAACUUGUGUCUUCUGUACGUAACAGCAAAGAAAUAGUUUUCUUCCUGAGUCAGCUGUGCUAGCUACAAUGGUUUCAGAACAAAAAGAAAGCAUCACAUGGCAGAAUUAACAGACUUU